Molecule: ribosomal RNA, 497 nt
Filed under: uncultured bacterium
Lineage: Bacteria
Description: partial 16S ribosomal RNA
Rfam family: Bacterial small subunit ribosomal RNA
Source: RNAcentral
GAUGAACGCUGGCGGCGUGCCUAAUACAUGCAAGUCGAACGCUGAAGGAAGGAGCUUGCUCUUUCCGGAUGAGUUGCGAACGGGUGAGUAACGCGUAGGUAACCUGCCUGGUAGCGGGGGAUAACUAUUGGAAACGAUAGCUAAUACCGCAUAACAGUAGAUGUUGCAUGAUAUCUACUUAAAAGGUGCAAUUGCACCACUACCAGCUGGACCUGCGUUGUAUUAGCUAGUUGGUGAGGUAACGGCUCACCAAGGCGACGAUACAUAGCCGACCUGAGAGGGUGAUCGGCCACACUGGGACUGAGACACGGCCCAGGAUCCUUCGGGAAGCAGCAGGAGGGGAACAUCGGCAAAGGACGGAAGGCUGACCGAGCAACGCCGCGUGAGGGAAGAAGGGUUUCGGAUCGUAAAGCUCUGUUGUAAGAGAAGAACGAGUGUGAGAGUGGAAAGUUCACACUGUGACGGUAUCUUACCAGAAAGGGACGGCUAACUACGUG